GAUCCUGGCUCAGGAUGAACGCUAGCUAUAGGCUUAACACAUGCAAGUCGAGGGGUAACAAGGAGAGAGCUUGCUCUUUCUGUUGACGACCGGCGCACGGGUGAGUAACACGUAUCCAACCUACCGUAUACACUGGGAUAGCUCUUCGAAAGAAGGAUUAAUACUAGAUGUUAAGAUGUUCUCGCCUGGGAAUAUCUUCAAAGAUUUAUCGGUAUACGAUGGGGAUGCGUUCCAUUAGACAGUUGGUGAGGUAACGGCUCACCAAAUCGACGAUGGAUAGGGGUUCUGAGAGGAAGAUCCCCCACAUUGGAACUGAGACACGGUCCAAACUCCUACGGGAGGCAGCAGUGAGGAAUAUUGGUCAAUGGACGCGAGUCUGAACCAGCCAAGUAGCGUGAAGGAAGACUGCCCUAUGGGUUGUAAACUUCUUUUGUUAGGGAAUAAAGUGCGCCACGUGUGGUGUUUUGUAUGUACCUAACGAAUAAGGAUCGGCUAACUCCGUG
RNAcentral lists this ribosomal RNA (503 nucleotides) under uncultured bacterium. RNAcentral's name for it is "bacterial SSU rRNA". It matches the Rfam family "Bacterial small subunit ribosomal RNA", at positions 15 to 507 of the family's 1533-position model. The record is from RNAcentral.